GCCGGGCAUGGUGGCUCAUGCCUGUAAUCCCAGCAUUUUGGGAGGCCAAGAUGGGUGGAUCACCUGAGGUCAGGAGUUUGAGACCAGCCUGACCAACAUGGUGAAACCCCGUCUCUA
Unclassified non-coding RNA from Papio anubis (olive baboon), 117 nucleotides. It matches the Rfam family "Metazoan signal recognition particle RNA". From Rfam's summary of the family: The signal recognition particle (SRP) is a universally conserved ribonucleoprotein. Lineage: Eukaryota; Metazoa; Chordata; Mammalia; Primates; Cercopithecidae. The record is from Ensembl.